GACGAACGCUGGCGGCGUGCUUAACACAUGCAAGUCGAACGGUAAGGCCCUGCCUUGGUGGGCUGCUCGAGUGGCGAACGGGUGAGUAACACGUGGGUAACCUGCCCUUUACUUUGGGAUAACUUCAGGAAACUGUGGCUAAUACCGGAUAGGAGCUCCUGCUGCAUGGUGGGGGCUGGAAAGUUUCGGCGGUUGGGGUUGGACGCGCGGCUUAUCAGCUUGUUGGUGGGGUAGUGGCUUACCAACGCGUUGACGGGUAGCCGGCCUGAGAGGGUGACCGGCCACAGUGGGCCUGAGGUACGACCCAGACGGCUACGGGAGGCAGGGGUGGGGAAUAGAGCACGAUGCGCGGAAGCCGGAUGCAGGAACGUCGCGUGCGGGAUGACGGUCGUCAGGUUGGAAACCGCGUGCGCGUGUAAAGAUGCGAGUGUGACGGUAACGUAUAAAGAAGCACCGGCUAACUACGUG
Molecule: ribosomal RNA, 468 nt
Filed under: uncultured bacterium
Lineage: Bacteria
Description: partial 16S ribosomal RNA
Rfam family: Bacterial small subunit ribosomal RNA
Source: RNAcentral